UACGUAGGGUCCGAGCGUUAUCCGGAAUUAUUGGGCGUAAAGGGCUCGUAGGCGGUUUGUUGCGUCGGGAGUGAAAACCCAGGGCUUAACUCUGGGCUUGCUUCCGAUACGGGCAGACUUGAGGUAUUCAGGGGAGAACGGAAUUCCUGGUGUAGCGGUGAAAUGCGCAGAUAUCAGGAGGAACACCGGUGGCGAAGGCGGUUCUCUGGGAAUUACCUGACGCUGAGGAGCGAAAGUGUGGGGAGCGAACAGG
This 253-nucleotide ribosomal RNA is filed under the name uncultured bacterium. RNAcentral describes it as "partial 16S ribosomal RNA". It matches the Rfam family "Bacterial small subunit ribosomal RNA", at positions 524 to 776 of the family's 1533-position model. The record is from RNAcentral. RNAcentral also lists the same sequence under 1 other name.